This 404-nucleotide ribosomal RNA is filed under the name uncultured bacterium. RNAcentral's name for it is "partial 16S ribosomal RNA". It matches the Rfam family "Bacterial small subunit ribosomal RNA", at positions 30 to 526 of the family's 1533-position model. The record is from RNAcentral.
AUUGAACGCUGGCGGCAGGCCUAACACAUGCAAGUCGAGCGGGCGGCGGACGGGUGAGUAAUGCCUGGCAGUUGCCCGGUCGAGGGGAAUAACAGUUGGAAAAGCCUGCUAAGCCCACUUACGGUUGGAUUGCACAGUUGGGGUUAGCUAGUUGGUGAGGUAAUGGCUCACCAAGGCGACCAUCCCUAGCUGGUCUGAGAGGAUGAUCAGCCACACUGGAACUGAGACACGGCCCAGACUCCUACGGGAGGCAGCAGUGGGGAAUAUUGCACAAUGGGGGAAACCCUGAUGCAGCCAUGCCGCGUGUAUGAAGAAGGCCUUCGGGUUGUAAAGCACUUUCAGUGGGGAGGCGUUACUCGCAGAAGAAGCACCGGCUAACUCCGUGCCAGCAGCCGCGGUAAUUC